Molecule: ribosomal RNA, 253 nt
Filed under: uncultured bacterium
Lineage: Bacteria
Description: partial 16S ribosomal RNA
Rfam family: Bacterial small subunit ribosomal RNA
Source: RNAcentral
UACGAAGGGGGCUAGCGUUGCUCGGAAUCACUGGGCGUAAAGGGUGCGUAGGCGGGUCUUUAAGUCAGGGGUGAAAUCCUGGAGCUCAACUCCAGAACUGCCUUUGAUACUGAGGAUCUUGAGUUCGGGAGAGGUGAGUGGAACUGCGAGUGUAGAGGUGAAAUUCGUAGAUAUUCGCAAGAACACCGGUGGCGAAGGCGGCAUCCUGGACCAACACUGACACUGAGGAGCGAAAGCCAGGGGAGCAAACGGG